UACAGAGGUCCCGAGCGUUGUUCGGAUUCAUUGGGCGUAAAGGGUGCGUAGGCGGCGGGGAAAGUCUGAUGUGAAAUCCUGGGGCUCAACCCUGGAACUGCAUUGGAUACUUCCUUGCUAGAGUACUGGAGAGGAAACUGGAAUUUACGGUGUAGCAGUGAAAUGCGUAGAGAUCGUAAGGAAGACCAGUGGCGAAGGCGAGUUUCUGGACAGUUACUGACGCUGAGCACGAAGGCCAGGGGAGCAAACGGG
Molecule: ribosomal RNA, 252 nt
Filed under: uncultured bacterium
Lineage: Bacteria
Description: partial 16S ribosomal RNA
Rfam family: Bacterial small subunit ribosomal RNA
Source: RNAcentral